GUCAGACCCAUCACGGGUUCACGGUACCACGAUUCAGUAACACACGCGGCUUCCUUCUCUUCAUCAUCUUCGUGCUUGUAGUUCCUUCUUCAUCUCUGAUUCAGAUUGGAAGUCGACGUUCUGGGUUGCCGCCGUUGCGUCUCCUCCCUCUCUCGGCCAUUUCCUGGCUUCUCUGAAACUGAAGUGUGAAAUCUGAAAGUGAAGUUUGCUUGCUCUCUAGAUUUUCUGCCUCUAACAAUGGAUGAGUACCAAGAGAUGGAGAGAUUUGGCAUGGAUAAUGAUUUUGAAGGUGGUGAAUGGAUUGGUGGUGAGUUCUACUAUCGAAAGCGCAAAGAAAAACGCACUCAAACAAGAGAAGAUGUUCUUUAUGGGGUGUUUGCAGACUCUGAUGAUGAUGAAGAUGAUUAUAACAGAAAACGCAGGAAAGACCGUGACUUAUCUAAGCAGCCUGACCUCAGCAAGCCUGUGAAUUUUGUCUCUACUGGAACUUUUAUGCCUAAUCAAGAUGAUAACCGUUCUAAAGAACAGAUGGAAGAAGAAAAUUAUGCGAGUGAGGAUAGGCCAGCUUUAGGUCUUGGUAUGGGAACUACUAGCACUUCUAGUUUUGGGUUAGGUUUUAAUACAAAUCAUCGUGGAAAUGCUUCUGAUGAUGAUAAUCACGACAACGAUUUUCUGCCUACGGCAUUUGGAAAGAGGAUUAAGGAGGGAGCAAUGAGAAGGGAGAGGGAAAAGGAAAGGGCAAAAUUGGAAAAGAAGAGAGCGCAAGGAAAAACCCAAGCUGAAGAUGGAUUUCCAGAUGUUGGGAAGUUUGAGAAGCAUACAAAGGGGAUUGGAAUGAAGUUGUUGGAGAAAAUGGGCUAUAAAGGAGGUGGUCUUGGGAAGAAUGAACAGGGUAUUUUAGCUCCUGUUGAGGCUCAUUUGAGGGCCAAGAAUACAGGUAUUGGAUUUAAUGACUCGAAGGCAACCACUCCUUUGCCUAGUGUGCAAGUUGAGAAGACAACAUUGCCAGGGGUUGCUCAACCUACAGCUGUUAGAGCAAAGGAAAGGUUAUGGUCAAAGCAUUCAAGGUCAAAGAAGAAGAAAGAUGAGGAUGAUUAUAUUACUGCUGAGGAAUUGUUAGCAAGCAAUCAAGAACAGGGUCUGGAGGUUGUGCAGAAGGUUUUUGAUAUGAGAGGGCCACAGGUUCGAGUAAUUACGAAUUUGUCUGAUUUGAAUGCUGAGGAGAAGGCCAAGGAAAAUGAUGUUCCAAUGCCAGAGCUUCAGCAUAACGUGGGCUUAAUUGUUAGGUUGGCUGAAGCAGACAUCCAGGAGAUUGAUAGAAAUUUGAGGAGAGAGAGGGAGACAGCACUUAGCUUGAAAAAAGAAAAAGAGAAGUUAGAAACUGAGGUAGCUCACCAAAAAAAGCAGUUGGAAGAUCUAGAAGAAAUAACAACUGUGCUAGACCGAGUUGGAGAAGAGAACUUAAUGGGGACAUUGACUUUGGAUUUGCUUGCACAGUGCUUUGCUGACCUGCAGAAAAGAUAUGCUGAUAGCUAUAAGUUGUGUAACUUGUCAUGUAUUGCUUCUUCAUAUGCUUUGCCUUUGUUUAUUAGAGUAUUCCAAGGAUGGGAUCCUCUUCGAAAUCCAUUACAUGGGUUAGAGUUGGUAUCACGGUGGAAAACAUUGCUUCAAGAAGAAGAUUGCCUUGAUAUCUGGGAUGUAACAUCACCUUAUACUCAAUUGAUUUCUGAAGUUGUUUUACCAGCUGUCAGGAUUUCUGGUAUCAAUACCUGGCAGGCACGGGAUCCUGAGCCAAUGUUACGGUUUUUGGAGUCCUGGGAAAAGUUGCUUCCUUCAUCAGUUCUCACAGCCAUGUUGGACAAUAUUGUCAUGCCAAAAUUGUCAAGUGCUGUAGAUACAUGGGAGCCACAUCGUGAGACAAUUCCUAUCCAUACUUGGGUGCACCCAUGGUUACCAUUGUUAGGACACAAGUUAGAGGGAAUGUAUCAGAUGAUACGCUUCAAAUUGAGUACUGUUCUUGGUGCCUGGCACCCAAGUGAUGGAUCUGCGUAUGCUAUAUUGUCACCUUGGAAGACUGUAUUUGAUUCAGUGAGUUGGGAACAACUUAUGCUUCGAUUUAUUGUGCCAAAGUUGCAGCUUGUCUUGCAAGAGUUCCAAGUGAACCCAGCAGAUCAGAAACUUGAUCAGUUUUAUUGGGUGAUGAAUUGGGCUUCUGCUGUUCCAAUUCAUCUGAUGGUUGAUAUGAUGGAGAAGUUCUUCUUCACCAAGUGGCUUCAGGUUUUGUACCAUUGGUUGUGCUCAAAUCCUAACUUUGAAGAAGUUACAAAAUGGUAUUUGGGCUGGAAAGAACUUAUUCCAAAGGAACUUUUGGCAAAUGAAAGUAUUCGAUAUCAACUAAACCGUGGUCUUGAUAUGAUGAACCAGGCUGUUGAAGGCAUGGAGGUGGUCCAACCUGGCUUGAAAGAAAACAUCAGCUAUCUUAGGGUACUUGAGCAAAGGCAAUUUGAGGCUCAGCAGAAAGCAGCAGCUCAUGCUCAAACUCAAGCUCCCUCAGGCUUGGGGGCUGCUGCCCAUAUGGAUGGUGCAGCUGGUGUACAUGAGAUGAGCUUAAAAGAAGUCAUUGAGGCCCAUGCCCAACAACAUGGCUUGCUAUUCAAGCUUAAACCUGGUAGAAUGCACAAUGGUCAUCAAAUAUAUGGGUUUGGUAAUGUCAGCAUUAUAAUAGACUCUCUCAAUCAAAAGGUAUAUGCCCAAACUGAGGAUGCAUGGUCUUUGGAAUCUCUCCAAGGCUUACUGGAGCUGCAUAGUAAGUCCCUUGGUCGGAGACGCUGAUUCUGCAGUGACUUUCUUAUGCAGUUUGAGCAAGAGUUUCCAAUAUCUAAAUCGGUGGACAAAUAAUAAUCAGGGAAAUGUAAGAAGACCUUAACUGAGAACUUGAACUGCAGAUAAAGGGGGACUGAAAACCCUGUUGUAUCAGAACUUAUUGGCGUAUGCUUUAUUCUCUUACCACAUACAUUAAGGCUUUAAGCAAGGUUGAGCUCAGGCUCCAUGUCUGGAAACUGAGAUUUGAAAUUUGCAAAUGAAUCAUAUGCCUAUUCCUCUGCUAA
Prosopis cineraria is the source of this 3107-nucleotide RNA transcript. It is a transcript of the gene named septin and tuftelin-interacting protein 1 homolog 1, with no coding region annotated. NCBI's taxonomy places the organism in Eukaryota, Viridiplantae, Streptophyta, Magnoliopsida, Fabales, Fabaceae. The record is from RefSeq and is a predicted model, not a curated record. The transcript is spliced from 5 exons.